This 875-nucleotide ribosomal RNA is filed under the name Tetra salixis. RNAcentral describes it as "partial large subunit ribosomal RNA". It matches the Rfam family "Eukaryotic large subunit ribosomal RNA", at positions 366 to 944 of the family's 3401-position model. The record is from RNAcentral. Lineage: Eukaryota; Metazoa; Arthropoda; Arachnida; Trombidiformes; Eriophyidae. RNAcentral also lists the same sequence under 2 other names.
AAAUAGAACUUUGCAGAGAGAGUUAACAGGGCGUGAAACCGUUAGUUGGCAAACGAAUCGGAGCCACGAAGUCGUUUCGUUGUUGAGUCGCGCCAGGUUCAGCUCGGGUCGAGAGGCUCGGGUGUAGUCUUGGGAGUGGCCAGCAUUGUAAGCGUACACUGCAACCAGUUAGACGAUUGGUUAUGGGCCCAGUUGUGUGCGUCAGCAGUGGCGCGCUGGCUCUCGGGUCGGCGUGUUGCUUGGCGCGCGCGAGUGAACUAUAACCAAAUACUGACUGGCGAAAUGAAAAUCGCCCCCUAGUGGGCGUUAGAGACAAAGCAGCGGGUUGCACGCGUGUCCACGCGUUCGACUGUUGGGUCUAAGCUUGGCGCUCUCGAAUUCAGACUUGCUUGCUAUCAGUGGGGCAACUCCUGGUGCUUGUACAGCUUCUGUCUAAUCGGGCGUCGACUUGGCCCAGCAUCGCUCGGGCGCGCUACGGUAGGGCGCGCGUGCGAGCUCGCUUGCAGCUUGAAUUGGCAGUGAGUAGGUCGGCUUUCCGAACGACCCGUCUUGAAACACGGACCAAGGAGUCUAAUUAGGCAUCGAGUCGAUCGGUCUUGAAUAGGCCAGACGAGGGGGUUUUCCCUGAUUGAAGGCGUAGAGAAAUCGUGUGAUCCCUGGGGCAAUACCAGCCUCUUGGCGCAACAUGUGCCUGUUCGAUAGCAGCUGUAGCAAUAACUGCUGGCGGAGCAAAGAGAUGCCUGAUUGGGACCCGAAAGAUGGUGAGCUUGGGCAAAUUGAAGCCAGAGGAAACUCUGGUGGAGGAUUGUAGCGAUUCUGACGUGCAAAUCGAUCGUCAGACCUGAGUAUAGGGGCGAAAGACUAAUCGAACCAUC